CCAACUUAUCAUUCAACUCCUUUUUCUUCCCUUACUGAUUUCCCAAUUUAAAAUCAGAUUUUAAUUUUGUUUCCCACCUAAUUUCCAAUUCCUCACCCAUAAAUCAAAGUAGAAUAUAUAUUAAGAUCAUCCCUGAAAAGGUUUCAUGAUGAAUUUAACAUGAGCUUACAUACAUUACAUAAACAGUGCAAAAUACUUGAAUAUGCCUACAUAACAUAGAUACCAACAAGAGGUUGUAUCAUAUCUUCAUUUCUGGCUCUUCUUCUUCCACAAGUCUCCAAACAUUUUAAUGCCAGAGGCCUUCUUUUUUCCACUUCCAAAACCAUCAUCAUAGUCAUCAGACAUUCCUGGUGAUCCCACAAAACUAGUGUACCCACCACCACCUGGUGUUACGAAUACACCACCAAAGUGCUUAUCCAUGGAGCCACACCUCUCGGAAAUCCUACUGUUCAUCUCCACUGCCCCAGCGAGUACUGCUGCUGCUGCAUCUGCUGCUUUUCUCCAUUGCUCUGUCUGCACCCUCAUUUUCCUUAUUUCAGCUUCCAAGGCUUCCUUGGCUCCUUCUGCAGAUUCCAGCUUAUCCUUUAAAUGAGCUGCACUUGCUUGGCUUUUUUCCAGCUCUUCUCCCAGUUGGCUUAACCUUGUGGACAUCUUGUCUUCCUUAGCUUUAGCAGAUGAAAUGUUUGAGGUUGCUUCAUUCAGUAGAUUCUUCAAAUUCUCAUUCUCUUUUCCGAACGCCUCCAAUUCAUUUUCUUUCUUUUCUAACUUGGCUUUUAGCAUGUUUAUCUCAUCAUCCUUUAAAGUCAAGUCAUGGAAUGAUGGCUUUUCUGGCUCUGAAAUUGCUAGUGGUUCGGUUGUCAUUUUAGUUGUCCAGUUUCCUUUUUCUACCUGAUCAAUCAGGUGGCCAGGUUCAGCCUUGGCCUCCACAGCCUCUUUUUCUACUGGAACUUCAAAAACAUCAGUUUCCUGCUGGUUUUCAUCAGAUACUUUGUCCACAAUGUUGUUCUCUGCCUUUUCAAGAUCCUGAAUUUCAGUUGGAGGAUGCUUUUCUUGAAUUUCCUCAGGCUCCAGAAUAGCUGGUGUCUUUGUAUUCUUCUCCAAUUCUUGCUGAGCUUCUUGCUUUGCAGCUUCAGCAGAAGCCAACUGUCCUUUCAAAAUCUUCAGCUCUUCCUGUGCUUGGCCAAGUUGGGAUUCUAAAUCUGCAAUACGGGUGCCUAGUUUCUUUUGGUUCAGUGAGUCAGGAUGCGAACCUCGAGGGGAGCGACGGUCUCCCAGCUUGGGACUUCGCUCAGUAAUUAGUCGAUUAUGCUGUGGAUCUGACUCAGAGCUAGAUGUCCUAAGUGGAUGUGGACCUCGAGGCGACUGCCUUUGAGGCAUUUCUGAACCCCUGUUCAUCACAAAAUCACAAGAUGGUAGACAUUAAAUUGUGCAAACAAAAGAAAUGCAUGACUUACUUCCAGUCACAUAAUCACACAACAUUUCUCAUAAUUUGACACAUACAGAUCUUCUGUAAAUUAAUGGAUUCCAGAUUAAAUAAUAAAUAGAGAGCAGAAUGAGCCUGUAAGUGAUGAAUGAUGAAACAAAUAUCUUAAUCUUUGUGAAACCCCCAUUAAAGCAUGCACGUGCAUGCCAUAAAAUCAGGCAGCCGCAUCUAACUUUGUUGCAUAGACAAGUAUCUCAUGUCUGAUUUCAUUUCAUGCUCAACACAAGUGCAAGAGAAUAACAAAACAGCAUGCACAAAUAAAACAAGGCAUAAUCCAACUCUUGCGCACAGUAAAUGCUGCAGAAUUAGGCAUAACCUUCACCAAUCAGGAAGUCCAUAUACGCAUCUUUAAUACCAGUAGUCAACAUGCUUAUAUAUUUGCUAAACUUUGCACUAGGAGAAAUACAAAUGAAAAAAAAUCAAAAGACAACACAAUUCACAAGUAUAUGAGAACUACAUAUUGGUGACAAAUUGGGUUUACUUACCUUGAUCUUGGCAUUUGAUCAGCUUAAGGAAUAUUGGUUGAAGAACUGCAAGGAAUGUAUAGAGAAUUGUUCUCUGAAGAAUCU
Molecule: unclassified non-coding RNA, 2052 nt
Filed under: Hevea brasiliensis (rubber tree)
Lineage: Eukaryota; Viridiplantae; Streptophyta; Magnoliopsida; Malpighiales; Euphorbiaceae
Source: RNAcentral